This 94-nucleotide transfer RNA is filed under the name Fucus vesiculosus. Its description in RNAcentral is "transfer RNA-Ser(gct)". It matches the Rfam family "tRNA". From Rfam's summary of the family: Transfer RNA (tRNA) molecules are approximately 80 nucleotides in length. Lineage: Eukaryota; Phaeophyceae; Fucales; Fucaceae. The record is from RNAcentral.
UGGGAAGAUGGCUGAGGGGCUUAAAGCGUUAGAUUGCUAAUCUAUUGUACAAAAAUUUUUGUACCGAGGGUUCGAAUCCCUCUCUUUCCGAUAU